ACGGAAGGCAUCAGUUCUUCCUAUUGGUCAAUGGACGGAAGUCUGAACCAGCCAAGUCGCGUGAAGGAAGACGGUUCUAUGGAUUGUAAACUUCUUUUGCCCGAGGGUAAAAUCAGGUACGUGUACCUGUUUGCAAGUAUCGGGUGAAUAAGCAUCGGCUAACUCCGUGCCAGCAGCCGCGGUAAUACGGAGGAUGCGAGCGUUAUCCGGAUUUAUUGGGUUUAAAGGGUGCGUAGGCGGGCUGUUAAGUCAGCGGUGAAAGUUUGCGGCUCAACCGUAAAAUUGCCGUUGAAACUGGCGGUCUUGAGUGUAAACGAGGUAAGCGGAAUGUGACGUGUAGCGGUGAAAUGCUUAGAUAUGUCCCAGAACUCCGAUUGCGAAGGCAGCUUACCAGCAUACAACUGACGCUGAGGCACGAAAGCGUGGGUAUCAAACAGGAUUAGAUACCCUGGUA
This 454-nucleotide ribosomal RNA is filed under the name uncultured Porphyromonadaceae bacterium. RNAcentral's name for it is "partial 16S ribosomal RNA". It matches the Rfam family "Bacterial small subunit ribosomal RNA", at positions 341 to 792 of the family's 1533-position model. Lineage: Bacteria; Pseudomonadati; Bacteroidota; Bacteroidia; Bacteroidales; Porphyromonadaceae. The record is from RNAcentral.